AAAGAGAGAGAGAGAGGUAGACAGAAAGAGAGAGAGACAGGUAGAGAGAGAGAGAGACGGGUAGAGGGAAAGAGAGAGAGACAGGUAGAGAGAAGGAGAGAGAGACAGGUAGAGAGAGAGUGACGGGUAGAGGGAAAGAGAGAGAGACAGGUAGAGAGAAAGAGAGAGAGACAGGUAGAGAGAAAGAGAGAGAGACAGGUAGAGAGAAAGAGAGAGAGAGGUAGACAGAAAGAGAGAGAGACAGGUAGAGAGAGAGAGAGACGGGUAGAGGGAAAGAGAGAGAGACAGGUAGAGAGAAAGAGAGAGAGACAGGUAGAGAGAGAGAGAGGUAGAGAGAAAGAGAGAGAGACAGGUAGAGAGAGAGAGAGAGGUAGAGAGAGAGAGAGAGGUAGAGUGAAAGAGAGAAAGAGAGAGACAGGUAGAGAGAGAGAGAGGUAGAGAGAGAGAGAGUAGGGAGAGAGAGAGAGACAGGUAGAGAGAAAGAGAGAGAGAGAGGUAGGGAGAGAGAGAAGUAGGGAGAAAGAGAGCGGUAGGGGGAGAGAGAGAGAGAGAUGUAGGGGGAGAGAGAGAGGGAGGGAGAGGGAGAGAGAGAGAGAGACAGGUAGAGAGAAAGAGAGAGAGACAGGUAGAGAGAAAGAGAGCAGUAGGGAGAGAGAGAGAGAGGUAGGGAGAGAGAGAUAGAGGUAGGGAGAGAGAGAGGGAGGGAGAGAGAGAGAGAGGGACAGGUAGAUAGAGAGAGAGGUAGGGAGAGAGAGAGAGAGACAGGUAGGGAGAAAGAGAGAGAGAGAGAGGGAGAGAGGUAGGGAGAGAGAGAGACAGGUAGAGAGAGAGAGAGACAGGUAGAGAGAAAGAGAGAGAGAGGUAGGGAGAGAGAGACAGGUAGAGAGAGAGAGAGAGAGAGAGAGGUAGGGAGAGAGAGAGGUAGGGAGAAAGAGAGCAGUAGGUAGAGAGAGAUAGAGAGAGGGAGGGAGAAAGAUAGGUAGGGAGAGAGAGAGACAGGUAGAGAGAGAGACAGGUAGGGAGAGAGACAGGUAGGGAGAGAGGGAGGUAGGG
Oncorhynchus keta (chum salmon) is the source of this 1053-nucleotide long non-coding RNA. RefSeq lists it as uncharacterized. Lineage: Eukaryota; Metazoa; Chordata; Actinopteri; Salmoniformes; Salmonidae. The transcript has 3 exons. The record is from RefSeq and is a predicted model, not a curated record.